AGCGGGGAGAGUUGGCAGGCACUGUGCCGAAUCCAGAAUGCGGUGAAGAAAAUUCGGGAGAGACUGCCUCGAUCACGGCGGUAUCCGAACAGGAAGUACACCGCAGUCAACCGGCGAUGUCAGUGCUCCGGCUAAAAGUAGCAAUCGGAUUUUGUCGUAGGCGGAGUUGGGCUUAAUUCGAUAUAUUUGCAUGGUCGUUGUGGGAGCAGAUCGCUGCUCCUGGGCAUCGAAGUUGGGGAGAUAUGGAGUCAUGAGGUAGUUUGGCACAUCACCGUGAAUCGACAGUGGCAUGAUUUCCUGGUUGAAGAAGAUCUACAGCACAGCUUUUACUCAUGGCAGUGGUUGUAAUUCCCAAGAGUUUUGGGAGUCCAUGGCCGUGCCAUGCGCCUCGAUCUCGGGCACGCAUCCCGUCUUGUCUCAUGAAAAGACCCCUAUGGUUGCAGUCGUAUGGUCUAGUGGGCGACGACGAGGUGCUUGAUUGAUUGCAGGGUUGGUUCCUAUAGCGUUGACCGCAUCAUGUCCUUAAGCUGUGUUCGCGACCUCUAAUCUGAAUCUUGCCCACUGCUUCUCUGUCUCCGGGGAUUAGCUUCCAAGGUCGAGUCUAGUCUCAGCGACGCGGAAGAUUCUGCAUCCUCUCAUGUGAUUGUCGAGAUUGUCCCUCAGGAUGCCUUGGUGGUGAGAUUUGAGAGCUGUUGGGGUGGAUGGAUCCAUGGUCGGCGCACCAAAUGGAGGGGGAAUCGUGACGACGCGAAGGCUUGAAUUACACCGUGAUCGAUUCUCAGGUUGCUGAGAGUUUUCGGACUCGUCUCUCUGGAUACGUUGUGAGAUUUCGUCUGUAGCCCGUCUUAGGAAGAGUGUUUUCCACGAUUUCGAAGUUUGGUAAAGCUCAUGCCAAGGGUGAGGUUUCUGUUCAUCAGGGGCGAGCUUCCUUCGACACAUUUACUAGUCAGUGAAACAAAAGUACACGGAAUGAGUCGGAGAAGAAGACGAAAUGUAGUUUCAACAACGAGAGGGAUUUUGUUUUGCUUCUCGUAAGAAUCAGUACGGGUUGCUAUUCUCACCGCCUAUAUGGCUAGCUAUGGUUUGCGUAUCUUUACUGGGAGGACGCGAGCCAUUUGCGAGCACCUUUGUCGCACUUUGUUUCCGGUGCACUGGGACUGGCGAAUUCCUAAGUCGUCGAGGUGUAGAGAUGCAACUGCUUGGGGAAGCCUAAUGUUAGUGGUUCUUUCUAAGCUUUGAGUUCGUGACGGAUAACGGCAACGCUCAAUUCUGAAAGGUUUCAGUGUAGUUCCACAUUUGGAGAUGAAGGAGGUAUUUAGGGCUUCUUACUACUGGUGCCAACAGCUUACAUAGUUGUGUGCAUUUUUUCUUAAUUUUGUUUCCUGGAUUUGAAAUAUACAUUAAAUCCUGCAAUGACGAACGAGAUUAGGAAGCCAGAAGUGAGUGAGCGAAUUCUCGAGAGCACCGAGAUUAGGACUUCUGAAUAUUCCACCUUGGCGGCACUGAUGGGCAUGGAAGACUCAACAAACGCGAGAUGCUGGCAGGGAGAGACGGAGCUAGGAGUUGGGUUGGGGUUUGGCAGUUCUUUAACAAGGCAAAAAGAGAGCUGCUUUUCACCUUAUGCUGGAUUCGAAAUUCUCGAAAAAUCAAGAUCGACGCAGCUAGGGACACCCAAGCAUCAUCGUCCAGGCCAUGGAGUCUUCACGUGCUUCCGGCACAGUACUCUGAACCUGGCGGUUCCGGAUUUGGAACCCAGCACACCACCGUCUAGGAGUGGACCCAUAGCAGCGCCUCGCACGAACGGUACUGCAAAUAUCAAAUCUUCUUUCAUGGACGAGGCUAUUGUUCACCACUACCAACAACCUCACAGUGAUGGGGAUCUGGAUCUCGAGGAACCUACCUCUCCAGUUGUGAAUUGCAUGGGCCAAGUGCGACAAAAGAAGGCGGAGCGGCGGCCUAAGAAGGUUGAGCCACCGAGGGAACUGGACCCCAGGGAGAAGCUACGGAGGAUGAAGUCGCAAGCGCCAAGGACACCACCAGCAAAGGCAACUAAGUCCAAGUCGUGCAAGUGGAAGCAGCUCAUGCGAUCCACGUCGAGCUCCAUAAGUCCCAGCAACCAUCCCCUCGGUGACGGAGAGCCUGAUAUAAUUGACCUCGGUCGCUUCAGCUCCGCAAGUUGCUCCUCAGAGCCUUUCAUCCACAGUACCGGAGAAGUGUCGUGCCAGAUUGACAAGCGCUCGGAUAAAACAUUUCAGCUAAUGCGGCGGAAGACUGUUUGGAGCUGCACCCCUAGUUCUGAUACCUGCCGAGGAAACGAGACCUCGCCCACACGCUCGCAAGAACUGGAUGCUGCAACCGAUUCUGCAAAUGUGGAAAGCGAGCUUAGAAGAACAGUGACCGAGUGUGAACCAGUAUUCAAAAAGCUUCCAAGCUUGAAGACGAUGAGAGUGGAAUCCCCCAAGUGGCUCGCAGGCGAGCCAUUGAGGGGCAGACGACAGGUGGCACUGAAGCAGAUAAUGAGUUCAUCCACUUCACCUUCGAACAGUAUUUGAUUCUUGUGGAAGACAGACACAGCUUUGAUCUUUGAGGGUGGAAUCGAUUCCCAGCCAAGUUGUAAGUCUGAGCGAGGUCAGCAGUAGAAAACGUCGCGAUUGUCGAGCAUUGUAGUCCAUGAACUGGUUACAUUUGUCUCGGAAGUGGCGACUGCUUCAAGAGCGAUGAAAGAAUCUUCAAGACAGCCAGACGAGGCUUCGAAGUGCUGCUCCUUGCUGCCUGGGGUCUGUGGGUGUGGGGCAGCGGCCGAUUACCACCCUGUUCCACUGGAUCCAUCUGCUCUACGGCUCACCGUGAAGCAUUCCAUAUUGUCCAGAUCGAUGUAGAAGAAAAUUUCCUCACGUUUAUGACAAUAAAUGUAGAGGGUUUUACCACGAAUCGGGUUCAUUCACGAAAUGAACCCCGAAAUUUAAGCCAUUGUUCCUGCAUCAAUAGUGAUUGGCGUAUGUUAUUAUCAAGUGAUUGAGGAAAUAGAGAUAUCAGUGAUUUGGACUUGCGCUGCCGUUUUCGAAGUUGUCAAGAGUAGGCCGCCUUCUCACCUGGCGAAGUCAAGCAGAAGGCUGAAUCGGCUUAACAUAUCGGAGUCUCAGAGAUCACUCUUCCCAAUCAUGGAACUCGGCACCUCAACCAUGUACCUGGAUUUUACACUGGCGCCGAGUGGUUCAAGGACGAGCACUUUGAAGAGCUUCUUCGCUGUCGGGCUGGGGCAACACCGUCUCUUUUUCUGGCGAUCAAGGGAAACUGUGGACAGUUUGACGUAUUUUUAAAGUUUCCUCGUUCCAUCUAGUGGUUUCUGGAAGGAUACGGAUAAUUCUUGCCAGAUAUGCGGCAGCCGUGUGGGCGAAGGAUCACGCGCAUGUAACGCCGCACUGUCCAAACUAAGAAUUGCGAUGAGCGGCCCAGAUGUUGCGGUCAGGAGGGUGAGGAGAAGAUUCUCGACACGUAUUCGGUGGACUCGUCAACCAAAGCUGGAGUCUCUCGACCCGCUCUUCUUCAAUGGCUUCCCAUCCCUGGUUCCACAGUUGCGCAAUUUAUUGGCGUACAGCACGGCAGUUGGUUUUGAGAAACCCUUGCAGGUUCGAAAUCCAGACCCAGUUGCAGUCCUCAUCGUCGUCUUCCUCAUUCGAUACAAUCAACGCAGAAUCUACCCAAUCGAACUGGUCGAUCGGUGUCUAAACCUAGUUUCUGCUGAAAUCUUCUCAUGACUGUUGGUGGCAGUGAAACCUGGUAGCAAUCGUUAACGCUGGAUUCUGGAAACCAUCUCUGCUCACAAAACACGAAUAGGAUCAGCUUAGGUUAGUAAGGGAAUUGGUUGUUGCGAAUUCGACCGUAGGCUUCCUUGUGUUCCAGUCUGAAAUUAGUGGGAGAUAGAGCCUUUCAAACAAUCAGCGUCAGAUCGGGUUCAUCGUGUUUCUGUUUCCUCAAGGUGAUCGUCUUCGAUUUCGCAGAUAAUUCGGCUUCCGAACCCCUUCAUCUGUUCCAACAACGUGUGCGCGGAGUCAAGUCAGCGAAGUCGUGAACGCAUAACACAUCCACCAUCUCUCCUUGGCACCAUGUUUUGCUUCUUCGUGUGCGAUGAACAACGCGACGUGGUAGCCAGCCGCCCAGUCUAUGGCGUGUGCGGCAACUGCGGCGCCAUGCUGAACGACGUGGAGGUGCGAGACACGUACCGCUUCUGCUUCAUCCCGGUGUUCUGGCAAUACAAGAAUCGCGUCAUGUGCCCUCGCUGUGGAGCUCAAUACCGGAGUCACUACUAGACACUCUCAACACACACAAACCCUAAUUCACUCACUCUCGUGUAUUAUUUUCUCAUGGUUUUGGGAUUUUGAAGCAUGAUCAGCCAUGUUUGUUUUACUGAAGGAGGUGCUGGGUUCUUGGAGCAGGUGUACAUUUUUAGGGUUAUACAAUUCUUAGACACAAAUUAGAUAUAUAGACUUUUACAAAUAUAUAGACUUGUUUCAAAAGUUUUUUACUUUAAAAAAGUUGUAUUGAAAGCAACCUGCAACUUGAAGUUUGGAUUACAAACGUUGCAGUGCCAAUGAAGCUUCCACUAGACUAUAUUUUUAGGUAGUAUAUAUGGAAGCAAGACUAAUGCAAUCUUGUCAAUAUCUUUCUUGUAUUCAAAUCUUAGUUCAAGAUUGUAUAGCAUCUUUAUAUUUCAUAGUGGUUAUUUUAA
Physcomitrium patens is the source of this 4729-nucleotide non-coding RNA. The record is from RefSeq and is a predicted model, not a curated record. NCBI's taxonomy places the organism in Eukaryota, Viridiplantae, Streptophyta, Bryopsida, Funariales, Funariaceae.